Molecule: transfer RNA, 73 nt
Filed under: Harpegnathos saltator (Jerdon's jumping ant)
Lineage: Eukaryota; Metazoa; Arthropoda; Insecta; Hymenoptera; Formicidae
Rfam family: tRNA
About the family: Transfer RNA (tRNA) molecules are approximately 80 nucleotides in length. Their secondary structure includes four short double-helical elements and three loops (D, anti-codon, and T loops).
Source: Rfam by way of RNAcentral
UGUCAGGUAGCUCAGUGGUUUAGAGCAGUCACCUAGCAAGCGAAAGACCUGGGUUCAAUUCCCGGUCUAGCGA